RNAcentral lists this transfer RNA (75 nucleotides) under Alphaproteobacteria bacterium. RNAcentral's name for it is "tRNA-Thr". It matches the Rfam family "tRNA". From Rfam's summary of the family: Transfer RNA (tRNA) molecules are approximately 80 nucleotides in length. Their secondary structure includes four short double-helical elements and three loops (D, anti-codon, and T loops). The record is from RNAcentral. Lineage: Bacteria; Pseudomonadati; Pseudomonadota; Alphaproteobacteria.
GCUGUUGUAGCUCAGUGGUAGAGCACCCCCUUGGUAAGGGGGAGGUCGGGCGUUCAAUCCGCCUCAACAGCACCA